UUAGCAUUCAUUCAUUCGUUCAGAAUGUCAGAGUUGGAAGGAAGCGAUCUUAAAAGAUGGAAUACAGAAUGUCAAAGCCAGAAGACCUUGGAAUCCAUCCAGUCCAACACUCUCAUUUAACUGAAAGGGAAACUAAGGUCCAUAGUCCAAGGUACUUGCUCUGUUUUAUAGAGUUGGAAAGGGGCAAUCAGACAUGUUGAUGGGCUGAUUCUCUAGGCGCAGGGGUUCUCAAACUUUUUAAAUAAGGGGCCAGUUCACUGACCCUCAGACUGUUGGAGGGCCGGACUGUAGUAAACACAAAAACUUUGUUUUGUGGGCCUUUGAAUAAAGAAACUUCAUAGCCCUGGGUGAGGGGGAUAAAUGUCCUCAGCUGCCGCAUCUGGCCCGCGGGCUGCAGUUUGAGGACCCCUGGCCCGGAUGGAGCACCAGCUCUGAAUAAGAACACAGACUCUGGGGACUUUAGGAUUUGGGAUUUGACGUGGCGAAGUGAUUGAAAUUGAACCUGGGAAGCUAAACUCUAACUCCUCCAGCUCUCUGUAGAGGUUUAUUGAUAAAAGAUGCUGGACUAGAUGAGGCGCUGGGGCAGAGGCAGCAGGGUAGAGCAGAGAGAGGAAGGAAGAAAGGAAACCAGCCUUGACAAAGGCUGCAGCUAUCUCUUUUAAUCCUCAAAACAGCCCAGGAGGUGAGCUUCAUUAUCAUCUCCGUUUGACAGUGGAGGAAAGUGAGUGAUUGCCCCAAGGGUUUGCACAGUAGGCCUGGGCUCUCAUCCUGGGGGCGCUGCUCUGUGGCUUUGGGCUAGCUUCUGAGCCUCAGUUUCUCCAUUUGUAGCUUGGGGAUUAAAAUAAUUGUUCCUCGGGGGCCUCUCUGAAGAACAAAGAAGCGAUAAUGUGGCUUAGUGGCAAGAGCAUGGAACGGAGAAGGAGAAGAUCCGAAUUUAAGUCCUGCCCCCGUCUGCUUUGGGUAAAUCACAUCGCCUCCUUGGGCUUGAGUUCCUCUGCUGAAAAAGGAGGGCCUGGCCCCAGAAUUAGAGGGCCUUCCAAUCUCCCCUUUGAUACAACCCGUGGGACUUCAGGGAGCCCGUGUGUAAAAUGAGCAGACUGGCCAGCUGACCCCGGAGGCCCGGCUCAGCCUGAUUUCGGGCCCUGGGAUCCUCUGAUCCCGGAGCCUCUUGCAGCUUGUCCAGAUGCUACCGGGGUGCACAGGGACUGCAGCCGCGAUGUACCUGGCAGAGGCUCCUGGGAGCGCCCCCCGGACCAGCGCAGCCCGGAGGUCUGGAGCCGGCGCGUGUAAGAAGCGGGACCGGAACCGGAUCUCUCCGGCUUCUGCCACCAGAAACGCCGUGAAAGUUACAAGAGGACAAGUGGCACAGAGGGGCAGGGACGCGCAGAACUAGCCGGGAGGGCCCUCAGCAUUACUAGCCCCGGAAUUACGGGGAGGACACGGGGAAGUUAAGUGGCUUCUGUGCCCGGAGGGCGGCCGAGGGCGCCGCGAGAUCCCUCGGCCUCAGACCCAGGCUGCUGGGCGCCCCUGCGUGCCUCAGUUUCCUCGCCUCUAAGAUGAGCUGGAGAAGGAGACGGCCAACCACGCCAGUGUCCCUGCCGAGCAAGCCCCAGACGGGCCCGCGAAGAGUCGGGCCCACAGCAAGGUCACAGUGCAAUGCUGUGAGGUGUCGUGACUAGUGGCGGGGCCCUGCUUUUCGGUAACUAGGGAGCGGCCACGGCGCGGCCCCCGGGCACGGAGAGGCAGAGCAGAACCGCCGCCUGGAUGCAGACGGGGAAGCCGGUGACAGAUGUCCCCGGAGACUGCUGUGCGUCAGAGCCGGCAUGAGCCCCCAGCGCUGCGUCAGCCCUGCGGGCCGCGCAGCCCGGCUUGGGAGCGUGUUCCCUAGUUCCGGGACACAGAGAGGGGGAAAUGAAGAUGAAUUUACAGGAUCGUGGACUCCCUGGUUGCCAGCAACGUUUCUCUAUGGAAACUGACGGCUGGCAUCUGAGGCAUUAGUCACCCACCCCCUCCUUGUACCCUCUGCGUAUAGAAAGUGUCACUCUCAGCGUCAGACAGCAGAAACAAUGAGCCAAUGGCGGCUCUCCUCCGCCCUCCCCACUCAUCUCCUUAUUAGCAAGAUCUGGCUCCUCAUGGAAGAUAUAUUUCCCUUCUUCAGGGAGUUUAGAGUUGGGGACACAAUCUGAUCCCAUUUCUUCAUUAUAAGGAGAAAAAAACUGAGAUAUGGAGAGAAAUGAUUUGCCCAAGGUCACAUAAAGAAAGCUACCAUGAUGCAUUGCACAAAGAGGUGCUUAACAAAUGAUUACUGGAUGAAUAACAACCUUGGCAAUGUGAAAAGGAAAUGUCUCCUACAUCUGGAAAGCACUCGCCACCUUCUCUAUGACACUGUCCCCGAUCCCCCGCCUACUCCUAGCGCACAUUUUUAAUGCUCUCCCCUCUUCGAUGUUCAUUGUACUGUACUUCUCUGGGUAUACUUCCCCAAAAGAAUGUUUCUUGAGAGAGAGGGAUUCAUGUUUUCGUCCUUGCAUCAGGUCCAAGCAUAUGGUGUAGUAUUUUGAACAUAAGAAUUUGAUGAAAGGUUUGUUGAAUGGUUAAAUGUUUGAUUAGGAAAAAGAGUUAAACAAUACAGAAGAAUGACAGCCUGAAAAGAACCUUACUUAAAACAUAAAACACAAUAUCAGAAUAUGCUUUACCUUUCCAGUUAGAUCAGGCAGGCAGUGGCCCAAUAGGUAAGAGCAUUGAGCCUGGAAUCAGGAAAACCUGAGGGUUUUCAUAUAGUGUUUUAUAUAUAUAGUUUACCAGCUGUGUGAUUUUGGGCAAGUCACAACUUUUGUUUGUCUCAUUUCAAGUCACUUAACUUUUAUCUCAGUUUCCUUACCUGUAAAAAUGUGGAUAACAACAUCUACUUCCCAGAGUUGUUGUGAGGAUCAAAUUGUAAAGCUCUUAGCACAGUGUCUGGCAUACAGUAUAAACCCCAUAUAAGUAAUUAUUGUUGUUGUCCAGCUCUAUAGAAUGUGGACCUUAGGGACCAUCCAGUCCAAUUUUUUACUUUAUAGAUGAGGAAACUGAGAAAGAGGUGAUCUACCCAAACAUACAAGUUAGUGGCUGAACCAUGACUAGAUCUAAUAAUAUUUAUAAAGCACUUAGCACACUGCCUGACCUCUAAGUGCUGAUUAAAUCCUGGCGGCAACCUCAGAAAUGACUGGUGAGCUCAGGAGUAAUUCCAUCCUGCCAGCUUCUGGUUGUUGUUUGCUUUCAUUCUUGAAGAUAAUGACAUCAGGGAGGGGAGGCCAUGACAUGUGAGUCACAGAUGUGCCCUCCUUACUUGCUCCUCCCAAGCCAGAUAUAGAUCAAGACCCCUGAAGAUGGCCAGCUUCUAAAUCAAAGCAAUAAACCCAAGCCCCAUCACCCGCUGUAGACAAGACUGGCCAAUGGUUCUCUGGGGACCACUGCAGGAGCAGGAACAGGAUCUGAAGUCCCAGGGCUUACAUUUGAAUCCUGGCUCUUUAACUUAUUCCCCAUGUGACCUAUGGCAAGUCAACUAAUUUUUCUGGCUCAGUUUCCUAUUCUGUACAGUGAGGUAGUUGUGAUAGAGUGCAGCUUCUAGGGGAGAUGCAGCAAUAACGUUAAGGUCCCCUAGUCUUGGGAGUGAUAUAGUUAAAAAUGAUAUAUUUCUUCCCUUACCUUCUAGGGGAGAUGUAGUGAUAACCCUAAGGUCCCCUGGCCUUGGGAAUGUCAUAGUUCUAUAAACAUUGCUGUCAGAUAAAAAUCUUUUGGUCAAUAAUAACAAAGUUUUUGAGACAAUAAUGAAGUGCCUACUAGACCACUCUUCAAAUCCAUCUGUAAGCCAUAAACUUAGCAAAUCAGUGACAUGAGACCUGGUCUUUCAACUUUUUCCUAUAAAUUUAUCUUCUUGUUCCUGGUUCUUUGUUAAAUUCUUUUGAAUUUGGCCUGCUGUAAUUGGCAUUAUAUUUAAAAUAAAUUUUCCCCUUGACUUGGGAGAUGGUUCUGAGCUUGCAAAUUCUUUUGAGACACCUUAUGACACUGGUCUGGAGCACCAACCUUUUGGGGUUUCCUUUGAACCCCAACAACUGGACUAAAUUAUCUGUUUCUGGCCCAUUCUAGCUUAAAUCCCUGUUUGUCUGCUAGCCCUUUCAAGUGGAUUCUAAACAAUAAGCAGGUAGAAGGCAGUAAUGAGACUAGAAAGAUGGAAGCAAGAUCUGAAAUAGUCCAAGAAUAAAAAUAAUGGAUAGGAGCUCAUGUUUCCAUGGCAGGGAAUAUUUUCCUCAUAAUAACCCUUUGAGGGAAAUAACAUAAGUACUGUUUUAUCCAUUUUACAGGUACAGAAACUGAGAGUGAGGAGAAGAAACUCAUCAUUGGUGUUAUACAGCUAGCGAGGCAGAGCUAGAUGUAGAACUCAUCCCCUGAUCCUUAGAUAAUGGGUUCUCCUCUUGUGGGCAAGGGUCAAGAAUAGUCAGUCUAUUCUGAGGUCCCACUAAACAAAGUACUGCCCUAAGGAACAGGAUAUCAAUCCUAGCUAUGUUACCAAUUUCCUGUUAUGAUAAAUUAAACAAGCCAUUUCCUUUGGGGAGGCCUCAGUUUAUACAUCUAUAGAAUGGGCUGCUAAGAUCUGUCAUACUUUGCUAACACCCCCCUCCCCCCGCAAAGUAUUGACUAAAAAUUGCUUUCCCUCUUUUCUCCCACAAUCAAAUCAACAAUACUACUGAAGCUUGGAUAAAAAAUAGAUUGAAAAGGUGUCAAUCUAGUUCCCCAAGGUUGCAUUUACUGUCCCAAUAACAUUUCAAACCAAAACGCUCCCUUUUGGUCCUAAAUCUCCUGUUGUCUUUCCCAUAAGAAUAUAAGCUCAUUUUGUAAAAACAAAUAGUUUAGAAUAGUACUUGCCAAGGAAGAGCUCAAUUUUCCCCCCAUUCAUUUAUACCAUCUCCUCUAGUCAGUUAAGUAGGACUAGACUGGAUUAGACUUUUCCACCUUUCUCCCAGUUAAGUAGGACUAGAAACAAAUCUUCUAGGUUCUUUUUAUAUCCAAGUGACUCCCUUUGCACUUCUUUGCUAUCCACCUAGUCCAGGCAUCUACCAACCAUCAUCUGGAUUAUUUUACUAGCUUCCUAAUUAAAGUUUCUCCUCUCCAGUAUUUCACGCUUAAGGUCAUGCUUCCAGCACUGUCUUUAAGGCUCUAUUCAAUUUUUUCCUAUCAAGUUUUACUCACAACUUUUCACUAACUCUUAAUUCUGCCAGUCCUUCUGAAAGCCUCCAUUUUGAAUAUACCUCCCUAGUGCUUAUAUUUAUUUGAAUUACGGUCAUUCUCCUUCCAAGAGUCCAGGGGCCAUAUCUAAAAUGCUUCUGUAUUCUAGUACAGAAACCCACAACUAGAAAGAGCUCAAACACAAAUUUUGAGACUACCCUCAGUUUAUCUUGCCUAUAUGCUGUUUGUACAGAGUUGUUGUCUCUUCCUACUUUAGACUGUGAUCAGCUUGAGAGGAAGGGCUAUUUUUUGCAUUUUUUUUUUUUUAAACUGUGUAUGCGUGUGUAACUCAUUUGAGCCAACAAUAUUUAAACAUCAUUCAGGCCCUAUUCAGAACAUUUGCUCUUACACAUAUACAUUUUUAAAUUAAAUACAACUUUAAGUGCAUUGUGUUAUUAUAUAAAUACAAAAGAAAAAUUAUGUAACACAAAGAUUUCUUUUAAACCAUUACAUUUAAGUUGAAUAGUGCCAUUUGCAGUGAGUCAAGUUUUUAUCACUCCUUUCUGUUAUUACAAAUUUUUCUUUUGCUUGGCUCUGCUGGAAAGCAUAUUGAUAUUCUCCCUAUUAGAGGAGUUUGAGUGGAGGACUUAGCAUAGUGUUUAGCACAUAGUAGGUGCUUGUUAACUAACUGAAUGAAUAAAUGCUGUAUUUACCACUCCUCUACCAUUUAAGAGAAACAAAAACCAUAAUGCACAUGAUACCUGAAAGGUGUUUUUUUUUUUUUUUUUUAAUUUACAUUUUUUCCUCUCAAUUUGUGCAGGGCCUUUGAUUUUUCUUAUUCCCUUUAAAGGAAAAAAGGUUUCUUUUGUCCACCUUAGGAGAUCACUGGGAUAUCAGCUCACAUUCUUCAUAGUUCCCUUUACUGGUGAGUGUGAUGAUGGGAGGUGGGAGAAAAGACUGACAUUAUAAAAUGCAGAGGGGAGGAAGAUCAGGCUAGUCCUGAAGGGCCAAGCUCUCCAAGGGAAUAAGCUAGUUUUAUGAAUGUCAAAAUUGGGGGUCUCAGAAGCUGUUUAACCUAACCAAUAUUCCCAAAAAGUGGUCUUUGAAGAUUUCACGUGAAAUUUUAUGAAGUCCACUUUUAGACAUUACAUUCUAAUUUGUUACCAAGUUGGGUUUUUUUCCUACUUGGAGCCCAAAUUAACUUUGGGGAAAAAGAAGUCAACUUGUUUUCUUCUUAUCAGGCUAAGAAGGACAAGCCCCUUAAUCACUCUUUUAAACAUAGCCAGAUCCCAAAUCUUCAGGCAAAAUAUUCCUAGUUUAUUAAGUUUCCAAUCUCCUCGUCAUUGUCUUCAGUCUUCUCUUCAUCCUUAAAUUCCCUAACUUCUGAAGACAGGGAAGGUUUUGACCCCCACCCUUUACCUGCCCAGCCUCCCUCUACUCCCAAGACUGGAAUGUCUACACAUUUGGAUCUCCCUAUAGAUAAUGGAGAACACCAAAGAUGAAUCUUAUCUUUUUCUCUUAACAUUCCAAAGACUUGAAUCUUUUUUUUUUUCCUGCUUCAAUGGAAUUGUGUCCAGGCCCAGCCUGUCCCUAAUCAACCUAAAAGCACAGUUAUGGGGCCCAUCAAACACAUUAUAGGUUCUACUGAAGUCUGGAGCUGGGGGUGACUAAUUUUACUUCUCUCCUGGACAGUUUCUUGCUCUCCAACCCCAAUUUGGGGUGGGUGAUAAGUACAUGAUCUUAACAUUCCCUCUGAUGGCUCAUCGCUAAGACUGAAGACAGCCUAAGCUCCCAAGCCUGGCACUUGAGGUUUCCAGAGUCUGAUCUCAACUAAUCUCUUCAAUCUCACCUCCUACUCCUCCCCUUCAGAAUUCUUUCUUACAACCAGACUGGUCAGCCUGCUUGAUGUGAAGGUAAAAAGAGACUGAUUUGGAUCUUGGCUUUGCCAUUUAUACCGUUUUGAAAUUUGAACCUGGGUUCAGAUUUCAGUCUUGCCAGUUUAAAGUAGUGUAGCCACGGACAAAUUGCUUCUUUGGACCUGGAAUGCAAUAUAUAAAUAUGAAUAAUUUUUAGUUUCUUACAGUUCUGAAUCUUUUGUGUUCCAAUGUCCUUAUUGACUGAAACAAUUUUACUAACAUGAUGAGGAGGCAGUAUUAUGAAAUCAGAGGUCCCCAAUUCAAAAUCCAGUCCUAAUUGUGUGAUCACUGCCCUUUACUUUGAGAGUGGGACUAUGUUACCUUAGAAUCCUUACAGCUCAAAGGACUGGUAUGUCCUCCAGAGUUUGCCUCUGGGAGAGCAAAGAAAAAUGAACUAUGGUUAACUUUUUUUGUGGUUCGGAUUUGUCAAAUUCACCCUUGAAACUUGAAGACUCCAACACUGAGUUCCUGUGAAAAUCCUAAAGACUUCCAGGUUUUAAAGUGCUAAUCCCUGUUUCUCUGGCUUCUGCUCUCCAUAGAAGAGUUGAGAUAUUUGAAGUGGACUUGCUAAAUGAUUCUGAAUGGCUAAUUUCCCACCUUUGGGCUUUAGUUUCCUUUUGUAAGCUAAGACUGCCUGAUGGCCAUUACAGGGUAGAUAUGGUGAUCUUUUCUCCAAAGCUGAACCUGUUAGGUACAUGCAAGGCUCAGAGUGGAGGGG
Molecule: long non-coding RNA, 7836 nt
Organism: Antechinus flavipes (yellow-footed antechinus)
Lineage: Eukaryota; Metazoa; Chordata; Mammalia; Dasyuromorphia; Dasyuridae
Exons: 4
Source: RefSeq, a predicted model, not a curated record